Passer domesticus (house sparrow) is the source of this 9768-nucleotide long non-coding RNA. RefSeq lists it as uncharacterized. Lineage: Eukaryota; Metazoa; Chordata; Aves; Passeriformes; Passeridae. The transcript is spliced from 4 exons. The record is from RefSeq and is a predicted model, not a curated record.
CCCGGCCCCCAGCGCCCGCUGCUCCACGGCUUUUCCCUCAGGCAGCAAGGGCCGCCUGAAAUGAUUUAAAUGGAAAUUAUCCCCGUACUGUGGAGCUGGUCAAGUGCCGGCGGCGCGGGUUUGCCCGGAGAGGUUGUGGUGUCUCUGCCAAUGGAGCUGCUGAUAGAGAUGUUUGCUGACCCUCAAGCUAGCACAGAACAGCCUAGUGCUGGUACUGGAAGCAGAGGUCGGGCUGUGCUGCCUCUGGAGCCAGGAUCUUGGCAUCUGUGUCUGACGCUGUGACUGCCAUGGUGACGUACAAAGAUACUCUGGCCCAGCUCAGGUAUCUGUGACUGGCAAGACAUGGCAAUCUCCUCUCCAGGGACAUGCCCCAGCCAUGUCCUGAGGGGCAAGUCUGCUUCCAGGACCCCAUGUGCCAUGGAUGGGGAGCCUCUUCAUACAGCUGAGGGAUGAAAAAUGUCAUCUGCUCCAUUGCCUUCCUGAUCUGAACAGUAGGAGCAUCAGGCUUUGGGAUGCAUCCUGAGUUACCAGCCAGAAAAUUACAGAGCUAUCCACAGAAACGAAACAGAACCAUUCAAAUAGAAAAAUUAUCCUGAAAUAACACAUUUGACAUAUAUUUUUCAUCUGGGUCCCUACCAUCUAGCAGGCCUCUCUUCCGGAAAUCCAACAGGGUCCCAUGCUUCUUUUAUUCCUUCCUAAGCAUCCUCUCUGUAUUCUUAAUUUCUGUGUUUUGACUCCUAGUCUUUCAUCCAUAUAAUCAAAACCACCCUGAAGGAGCACCUAGUCAAGUGUGUCCUCAUUACCUGGAAUUAUUUUUCCUUUGGAUUUUAUUUUUCCCCAUAUGUAGUCUUAGAGUAAUUUAAAUAUAAUUAAGAAAAGGAAGUUCACAUUCUGGUAACAACUCUUGCAGAUAGUGAUGGUUUGCUGUACAAAAGAAGUGUGAAAAGCCUAAAUAUAUGACAGCAGCCUGUGUGCAUUGUAGAAAUGGCUUUUGUUAGAAUUUCCUUUCAGGAGAUUUCAUCUUCACAUUGAUUUAAUCUUCAGUGUUACGUGAAUGCCAUUUAGACACUGAGACCAUGUAAUGAGCCAAGUACUUCCCAUGCACAGAACUGUGCAGUUAUUACUGACUUUUCACAAUCUUUGAACCAGCAUACUCUGGGCACCACGCAGCCCAUUUAACCUUUGUUUUUUAUUUUAACCUCCUCUUUUUUUCCCGCCCAAGUUAAUCAAGUGUUGAAGUCUUCACUUACUUUUUUCUGAAUUGCUAGGGAAAUUGGAAACAAUUAGGAGCAUAACUAAAGUAGGGGUUAUAUAGAGAAUAUUUUGGGUUUAUUCUAAAUCAGUCUUUGCCCAUUUCCAAAGGAAAGAAAGAGAAUGGAGCAUAAAAGAAUACUUGCCAAUUUAUAUCAAUUUAAUAGAAAAUAAGUCUUGUCACACAGAUAUUAUUACAAUGGGAAGACAUAUUUUGUUCCUCCACAGAUGCAACAAAUUUUUGAAAGGCACUUGUCUUAUCAUAUGCCAUUAUAACAGAAGUGCCAAUUUUCAUUAAAAUUCUUAUGAAGAAUAUUAACACCUGUUUUCUUACCACCUCUUAAAAACGCCAGCUUCCAGCAGCCUGUGCCUGACUUGCACUUACUCCAUAACCCACGGAACAGGCAAAGAAUGGACAUGUUAUAAAGACAGGUGGACAUCAUGGUAAACAAAGAAGACAGCAGAGGAUUCGGGCUCUGUGGCACAGGGAUGGUCUAUAGCGCAUGGAACAGGACAGAAGGUAGCUAAGUGGCCAGAUGAAGGAGUAAAAUGCUGACCAGCUGUAACAUGAGAAGUUUCUGAACUCCUGUGUGGUGGCUAUUGUAUGGAAAAAGUAAAUAUACCUGUGAUUACAUCCUUGCAACUGUAAAGUACCUGUGUUAGAAAUGCUCCAAGCCAUGAACUGUAAGCAUUCUAGUUUAAAUAUUUUUUCUUCUUCUUAGAUGUUUUUGAUUACAUUAUUACUUGUGUGCUGAGCAGGACAAGCUUGAGUACAAAAGCUGUGAUACUCUAAGCUGCAGAUGUGUUGGAUUCUGAGUGGUGCAUCCAAUGACAGGACCUUGAAGUUGUUAUUGUCCUUAAUUAUCGUAGCACUCUUAAAAUUCAGAUAGGCAAGCUGCAGAAGAUUACACCUUUUAGGGGUUAGAAUCUUUGUAAUAUUUUGUUAAAAGUCUUUUACUAUCAGAGCAGCUCUUGGGGAAAUUCAGUAUGAAAUAGGUUAAGCAGAACUACCUUAUAUUGAUGUAGGCCAAGUCAGUUCUCAGUGACAUACUGAUGCAACAUUGAUCUAAAACAGGUUUCCAAAAUGUUGGGCUGUGGUUAUGUUUGCUGAGUACACACAAGACAGGGAGAUCUGGAUCCACCAUCUGGUAAACACAAGUCAUCUAUGCUGGUCUGAAAGUGCCCCAAUUAUGACUGUAAUUAGCUGCUUCGAAUGGGUGCUUGGAAAUGAGACAAGUGUGGUAAGUGAGACAAGAAGAUAUAGCAAGUGCAUUAUUAAGCAAAGCAAUGAGUUAGAGAGCACAUGGUCAUCCCUGAUAGUAGCUGGCAGAUAAUGAAUAGGAAAAUGUGUGAUAUGAUAUAAAGAAAAAAUAAAUACAUAUUAUAAUAGAAGCUGGAAUGCACAGUUGUUGGUCUCAGACUGCUGCAGGGUUUCACCUCUCUGUCUGCAUUUUGAUUUCGAAUUUGCCAUGCUUUUUUGUACCCUUCUAUAAGUGAUUAAUCUUAUAGUCCUAAUUUUAGUCUAUAUUUCAGAAUUCAGACCUGUGGUAAGUGAAAGGAAAAUUCUGGACUAUUCAGUAAGUAGACAAGAGUAGAUAAGAGACCUAUUUAUGAGAGAAAAUGAUCUAGCAACCAGUAACUGACCCAGUAUAUUUUAAUUUGUGCGGGUUUUUUUUGGGUUUGUUUUUUUUUUUUUGUUUUGUUUUUUUUUGUUUGUUUUUUGUUUUGCUAAGUGCAUCCUUCUGGAUAUGGAUAUUAAAAAAAAAAAGGAGAAACAUUAUAUAAAUCACUAAAUCACUGGUGCUCUUGUGUUGUUGUUUAACCCCAGCUGACAGCUAAGCACCACACAGCUGGUCCCUCAAUCCCCGCCCUUGCCAGAAGGAUGGUGGGAAAGAGAAUUGGAAAAGUGAGAAAAUGUCUGGACUGAGAUAAGAAUGGCUUAAUAAUUGAAAUAAAAUAAAAUAAUAAUAUUGAUAAUUUAUAAUGAAAAAGAAUAUAUUUUAAAACGAGAUUAAUAAAACCCUAGAGACAAGUGAUGCAAAUAAAAAACAACAAUGACCAGCACUCAGCCAGCCCCUGAGCAGCAGCCUCCAGCCAAUUUUCCCUCUAGUUUGCAUGCUGAGCAUGACAGCACCUGCUCUGGGAUACCCCGUUGGUCAGCUGGGGUCAGCUGUCCCCACUGUGUCCCCUCCCAGCUCCUUGUGCACCCCCAGCCCCCAGGCAGGUGGGGUGUGGUGAGAGGCAGAAAAGGCCCUGACCUUGUGUAAGCCCUGCUCAGCAGUAACCAAAACAUCCCCAUGAUAUUACAGCACAAAUCCAAAACACAGCCCUGCACCAGCUACUGUGAAGAAAAUUACCUGUACCCCAGCCCAAACCAGAACAUCUUGAUACAAAAUGUUAAAGCACACUUGCAUCCCUUUUCAAGAUACAAAUGUUGGCCACUAAACUGAGACCUCCCGGGACACGCCCACUGGUUUGUACUAUUUAUGAGAUAUGUUUUAUUUAUUUGACCUAAAUAUUCGUGUAUGCCUUUCCAUCACGUAGAAAGAGCGCAGGAGAUAUUACAGCCAGUUUAUUGACAAGCUGCCUGGAACCACUCGUCUAAACCAUAGGAACACUUUGCUAUGCCUUUUUUUUUUUUUCUUUUUCUUUUGAUUCUCUAGCUGCUGUGGUGUAGUUGUGUAUCAGUUCAACAGACUGACUUCUUUGGUCUUUUAUUUCAGUGCUUUGACAUUUCCCUGCCUGUGCACUGUGUAAACCCUGGUUACCAGAGUAAGCCAGGUUUGGAAUACAUUUAUUUUAAAGCAUUUAGGUUCCUCUUUAAGAUUGUAGAUGUAGGAGCGGGCUCAUUAGAAGUGAGUCAAUCUGAAUUGAUUUCAGAAUAAAUACAAAUGUUGAAAACCAGCCAGGUUUGGUAAAGAAAAGGAAGGAAUAUUCCUCAUGUGUUUCUCAGCUAUACCACAGCAUACAAAAACAAUUCCAGCAGAAAUCAGAACUUUGCCUGAAAUUCGUAAUUGAUUACCUUGGUUAUUGUCAAAUCAUUGUAGAAGUGAAAUAAAUAAAAUCACUCACUAAAAAAAACCCAAAACACUUUGGCUGUGACUCAGCUUCCAAAAUGUGGAAUACAUUCAAUACUAGUUUGAAUAGACCUAUGGUUUGGCCACCCUUUUUCUGUCUGUUCUAAACACCUGUUUUCAUUUAGUUGUACAAGAUGGACCACAAUUCUGCACGUAGCUUUACACUCUGAACAGCUCUACUGAAAUCAGCGAUAGCAGUUGACUUUGAACACAACCCACAGUAUCACACUUCAUUUCUUCUGGAAAAGAAAUCUUGGGGGAAAACUACAGUGCAACUAGUCAAACUGAUGAGAAUUUUAUAAGAUGACUGUAACACAUUAAAACUCAACUAUGCUCUUGUGGUUUCAUUCUCUCCUUUCUAUUUGGAUGCUAGCUCAUUGCUCCUGCCCUUGUAUUACUUGAAAGCUGUUAUAUUUCAUGCUGAAGCUCCAGGAAAGAUAUGUGAGAGGGGAAUAUUUCAAGGAAAUAGAAAUAAAGUAAAGAAAAACAAAUAAAAUUAUGUUUGCAAAUGAACAAGAUGGUUCCUUAAAUCGUCAUUUUUAGUUGAUUAGUUGGUACAUAUUAGUCAAGAAAUCCAGACUGGUUUUUGACUGCUUAAUUUUCUAUUCUAGUGGAUUAAAAAGAAAAAGAACAACUAUAUGAUCUAUCUAUGUGUUUGAUGACUUGCUGCAUGCAAUUUUGAGUUGUUUAUAGUGUUCAGCCCUGUCACUAGAUUUACCAUUCUUAUACAUAAUAAGUUUUCAUACAUCAUUGUACCUAUCAAGCAUUUUCAAACAAGCUACUUUGGUCUGCAUCUGUAAUAGGUGUGUUAUAGAAUUAUUGAUAGUUUAAACUAAUCUUGCAGUUUCUGUAUUGCAUCAAAUCCAUCAAAGAAGAUUUUUAGCAAAUACUGAUUUUAUUUUCUUGCGCACUAUCUUAUGUUACUUAAUAGUUAAGAUGUGAGCUUGACUUUUGAGAAAUAUGAAAAAUAAUGUUUUGCUGCAUACUUUCUUUGUUAACAAAGUCCCUAAGCACAGGAACAAAAUUAUUGUCUUGCAUCCUCUAGCCCUCCAGUUUCUCUGUGUAUCUAGUUUAGGGUGAGAUAAUGUCUGAGUGUAAUUUCAGCUGGCUUACUUUAGGAAGGACCAUUCACUCUGAAAGUGAUUGCUUCUCUUUUGCUUUGUGAUGAGAGGAACCCAGGUUAAUAAUUCAGAUUAAGAAACUAAAAAUUCUGUAAGAUGAACCUCAGUGUUUCAGCUCCUCCUCUCUGAAGCAGACAUGGCAGCAUUACCAUGCCUCAGGAAGCUGCCACAAGGAUGCUAAUAAUGCUGAGAUAUUUAUGAAUCAUAAUUGAAGCUUAUACGAAUAUAAAUAUUUAUCUCAUGCAAAAAGGAGAGCUUCCGUCUCCAUUCAAUUGAUACUUCCUUGUCGUUUUGCAUUUGCCAAAUAUAUUUUUGCUUCUAUUUGGUAUUAGAAAGAUUUUGCAUAUAAAAUGUGGGAAAUCUGAAUUUUUACAUACUUUUAUAGGCUUAUUUAAAAGAAAAAAUGUAAUGGUAUGUAUAUUACCAAGACUUCUAAAGAAUGGACAGACCCUUAAACUGUCUUACUGCAUCUUAAAAAAUAAGCAGCAAUCCAUCUUACAGCUGGGAAAAAUUCCUCUAUGAAGGGCCACAGCAAAGAGGAGUUUGAGAAUUUCUAAAUAUGGUGUGGAAGUUUUUCCAUCGACUAUAGAAUUUGAAGGGUAUCUGCAUUCUGGAGUGCCAUUUCCAGCAGUAAAUGUAGUGAAACAUGGACAACUUGAAUGAAUCAUGAUGAUCUCAUGUCACCUCACAAAAACAAUAGGAAGCUGCAUAAUCAAAAAGUGUGUUAAGCUGAAGAGAGGCACUUCAGAAAACUUCUCUAAGUUAAUCUGACCUUUUUUUUUUCUUUGUGGUAACAGGCUGCAUGGAAGAUGACUCAAUGAAAUGUCCCAGUAUGAGUCAUUAUAGCCAGAGAAAGACAACAAAGCAUGAAGUGGCACAUUGGAUGGUGACCUGUCAAGUCUCUCUGAUGGGCAGUGUUGCUGUUCCAUGUAACAAUCUCCGUGUUUAAGUAGGAGUGGAUCUCUGGUGAAGCUGGGCUAUCUGAUGCUGAUUCCUUCUCCAAGUGGAUAGUACAGGCUAUGUGUGUGUAUGGGGUGAACAUUGGUGUGGUGUGCUUCAGGCUGAGUGCACUCCUGCAUUUGCUACAGCAUUCCUGGUGCUAUGUCACUUAGUGUUAUGUCACUCAUCACUCUUUUUUUUUGUUCUUAUUGCAGCUCAACAACUGGUAAGUUCAGAAUUAAUGUGCAGCAGUAACUCCCCAUGGAGCAGAUAUUUAAGGCCAGUAUUUCAAUAUCAGAAUCCCAUAGGCACAAAUUAAAACCACUCUCCUUGCAAGAUUUACAGCUCUCCUUCUGAUUAGCAAGACCCAGGCAUUGUUUCCCGAAAUGUCAGUUUUGCUGCAGCUCAGUAAUGGAUGUGACACUAAUUGAAGAAAGCAGAGGAGACAAAAACAUUGCUGUUGUAACUCAGGCAGAGCUGCAGGGAGAUACGUAUUUGACUCUAGUGUUGCACUUUGGAUACCUGCACAGAGCAAUACUUGCAUCUGUGCCAGUAGUUUGUAGAACAGGUUACUUCUAUUUUGUGGUACUUUCUUUUGUAUUAGGUACCUAUUGGCAGUGCAGAGGCAUUUAGUUUUUUUCCCCAUGGAGUAGGCUGUGUGCUGGGAAAGCACAUUUUAUUUCAUGUGCAUUUUCCUAUCGAGCAAUCUGCUUGUCUGUCUUUACAAUGAGAAUGAAAGAAGUCUGAAAAGCUUGAGUGAGAGCCAUGUGAAAAGUAACAGAAAUCUCUGAUACAAACGGGAUGGAAUACAUGAGAAAGAGGGUGUCAAAAGUCUGUAUGUCCUCACUAAUUAAGAGGAAAUGGUCUGUACUUCAUGAAAGGAGCAUUCUAUUUCUGUAUAACUGGCUACAGACUUUUUGAAACAACCAAGACUUGGAGAGAAGGCCCUGACCCUCUCAGAUUCUCUUGGUCUGUAGCACUGACCUGACAGCUGGAGCUGUCAAGAUGUAAACUGAACUUCCAAAAGUGCCAGUAGCUCUGUAUGAAAAAUGUAAACAUGGAUCACAAAAUUGCUGUAAGGGAGAAUUCAGCCCAUCCUUGGAGUCUGGAGGCCCUUUGGUUUAUUCCCUCUUUAUAUAAUUUUGAACAGGUUCCUGAUGACGUGCUGCCUUAGAUAUCAAACCCAGAAACCAAGAAGUAUUUUUUUUAGUUUAAGGUUGUUGGGAUUCAGUGCCUUUGAUAGGUAUAUACAAAGUGCAUGGAUGGGGAGAUUAAAUGUAGCAGUUUGUUAUUUUCCUGAUCAUGAGUCUUUUGUAGGAUACAUUCUUGAGCUGGUAAGGGAGUAGGUAACUAGGAUUUACUUGGCUGUGACAACAGCCAGUGCUCAGUGAAAUGCUUGGAUGGACACAGGUUCUAGAAGCUGCUGUGUUUUCCUCAUUAGCCUUUUUCAACCCCUCUUCAAACAGUCAGAUUGCUGUGGAAUUAAGGUCAAAGUUAAAAGAAAUGGUUAGUUCCUCCAUAAAUCAAAGAUGUCCAGACACAGGGAAGGAGAAAUUCCUCCCUGCAAAUGUAGCAUGGGAGUAUAAAACAAAGAAAAUAUGCAUAGCUUAAGCUCUUUUAGGUAAAAGAGGAGGGUUACAAAUACUCCACUUGCAUACUGACACAUUGGCUGUGUGAUGAGUGUGCAUUCUCCAUCUCUCUUGACUGGGAGAGAUGGAGAAAGACAGGUUAUGCAGACAUAUUUCAAUACAUAUCUGUGCAAGCAUAAACCAUGUGCGCCAUGCAAGGGAUAGUCUUCUGCUUUCUAGAGAAGGAACUAAAGCCUCCAAAGAAAAAUUCUUUGCACACCUAAGUCCUCACUGUCCCAGGGUCCUGCUUUCAGCAAGUAGCUGACCUGGGUUCCCUGUAAAGAAAUUGCAGAGUUAAAUAUUUUGUUCACUUCAACAUUACUGCAGUGUUUUUCAGAUGUCUUCUGGCUGGUGUCAUGACUGGCUGUCACAGCAUGCUUAUUACAGCAUUGCAGGGAGCUGUUGCCACUACAGAGCAAAAGCAAGCCUGUCUGCUGUUCCCUACCAUGAGGUCAGUGCUUUACCUCUCAGUGCAGGAAAGACAGACAGUGUCUGUCUGUAAUGGUAGAAAUGGUUAAUUGUACUAUUAAUAAAAAUUGUAAAUACUUAAAAUGCUGGAAGAGUGACCUUUGUUUCCUUUAGGUAAAUGUGUUCAGCUGGUUCAGGUGAAAAUUGUACUGAGCCAGGGUCCUAUUAUUAUCCCACUACUGCUAGCUUAAUUAAUAACUCAGCACUGGCAAGUAUAAUUUUGUGCUGCUUACUAUACAGGGAUGCAGCACAGGGCUUACCAGUGAAGACAGUGGAAGGUAUAACAGAUGGAUGGGGGAAAAAACACUCCAAACCAGAUGAGCUGGAGAACAGGUGGUAUGUGUGAGAAGGGAGGAGAUGACAGUGCAGCAGGUUUUUAUAAACCUGAUCAUUAGUUUGGGUCAUGUGUCUGUUUACUAGGUAUGCUCAGCUAGAAUACAUAAUAGAGCUCAGUCUGGAGGCAUUUAAGGCCACAGUGGCUUGGUGAGGGAGGAACAUAUGAAAAGCAGAAUGUGAGAAAGUUCUGACAGGAGGGGGAAUUAAGCUUUUGAGCAGAUUUUAUCCUGCAAAUUCUUGAGAUGUAUUAGGGUAGCAGUGAAAGUAAUCUUUGGUUUUGCUGAACAGAGAAGCUGCCCUCACUCACUGAGUUGGUGAGUUGGCCUCUUGGAUCUUUUUUUAUUGUUUUAUUGGUUUUUUAUUGUUACUUGAUGACCCAGCUGGCAGCUUUUAGUCUUCUCUUUCAAUGUUUAAUUAAUUACAUAUGUUUCCCAUGGAGAUUCAUUACACAGCUUGACUCUGAGUUGCUUUUCUUCAGUCCUGUCUUCCGCACAGUUAGUGUUUAUAUGGCUUUUCCUCAUAGUAAUGUGUUCUGAAGCAAAAUAUAUCUAUGUUCUUUUAACUAAAGCAGCCCACAAGACAGAGUGGUACAUAGCAAAGGUAAAAAGGGAAAAGUGAUGAGAAAAGGAGUUUAUGAAAAAAUGUAAUAUCCUUCUCUUAUAUCCAGAAGAAUUGUUCCUCUUUUGUUUAAGCAACCAAGUGAAACUUCUUGAGGGGUAAGAAACAAACGAUUCCCAGCAUAAAUGAACUGUGAAUUAUUUUUGCAAAUAAAUUUUUUUAUCUAUACCAUAUCUGAUCCUCCCACUGGUGGGAGCAGAAUGUAAGAGCCUGUAAACCAGAAACCAACCAGUUCAACUGAGUGUUUAUCGUCUGUUUUUUUCGGAUUACACUUGUAGUUUGUUUAGCCAUUCUCUAACAGUAAAAGGAAAAUGUGAGAAUUUUGCUGAU